UACAGAGGUGCCGAGCGUUAGGCGGAAUCACUGGGCUUAAAGCGUGCGUAGGCGGGCGUCUAAGUGUCUUGUGAAAUCCCACGGCUCAACCGUGGAACUGUUGGGCAUACUGGACGCUUUGAGGCACACAGGGGCGAGCGGAACAAGUGGUGGAGCGGUGAAAUGCGUAGAUAUGCGGAGGAACACCGAUGGCGAAGGCAAUCCCCUGGGCCUGCACUGACGCUCAUGCACGAAAGCGUGGGGAGCAAACAGG
RNAcentral lists this ribosomal RNA (253 nucleotides) under uncultured bacterium. RNAcentral's name for it is "partial 16S ribosomal RNA". It matches the Rfam family "Bacterial small subunit ribosomal RNA", at positions 524 to 776 of the family's 1533-position model. The record is from RNAcentral.